This 434-nucleotide ribosomal RNA is filed under the name Streptomyces sp. Its description in RNAcentral is "bacterial SSU rRNA". It matches the Rfam family "Bacterial small subunit ribosomal RNA", at positions 502 to 920 of the family's 1533-position model. The record is from RNAcentral. Lineage: Bacteria; Bacillati; Actinomycetota; Actinomycetes; Kitasatosporales; Streptomycetaceae.
UACGUGCCAGCAGCCGCGGUAAGUACGUAGGGUUGCGAGCGUUGUCAGUAAAUAUUGGGUCGUAAAGAUGCUUCGUAGGCGGCCUUGAUCAUCGUCCGUUUGUGAAAAGCCCGGGGCUUAACCCCCGGGUUCUGCUGUCGAUACGGGCCGGCUAGAGUUCGGUAGGGGAGAUCGGAAUUUCUUGGUGUAGCGGUGAAAUGCGCAGAUAUCAGGAGGAACACCGGUGGCGAAGGCGGAUCUCUGGGCCGAUACUGACGCUGAGGAGCGAUAGCGUGGGGAGCGCACAGGAUUAGAUACCCUGGUUGUCCACGCCGUAAACGGUGGGAACUAGGUGUGGGCGACAUUCCACGUUGUCCGUGCCGCAGCUAACGCAUUAAGUUCCCCGCCUGGGGAGUACGGCCGCAAGGCUAAAACUCAAAGGAAUUGACGGGGGC